CGGACGGGUGAGUAACGCGUAGAAUCUACCCUCAGGUCGGGGAUAACCCUUGGAAACGGGGGCUAAUACCGGAUGUGCCGAAAGGUAAAAGGUUUACUGCCUGGGGAGGAGCUCGCGUCUGAUUAGCUAGUUGGUGGGGUAAAAGCCUACCAAGGCGACGAUCAGUAGCUGGUCUGAGAGGAUGAGCAGCCACACUGGGACUGAGACACGGCCCAGACUCCUACGGGAGGCAGCAGUGGGGAAUUUUCCGCAAUGGGCGAAAGCCUGACGGAGCAAGACCGCGUGGGGGAGGAAGGCCUUUGGGUUGUAAACCCCUUUUGUCAGGGAAGAAGACAGUGACGGUACCUGACGAAUCAGCCUCGGCUAACUCCGUGCCAGCAGCCGCGGUAAUACGGAGGAGGCAAGCGUUAUCCGGAAUAAUUGGGCGUAAAGCGUCCGUAGGUGGCCCGGCAAGUCGGUUGUCAAAGACCUCAGCUCAACUGGGGAAAGGCAAGGGAAACUGCAAGGCUAGAGUGCGGUAGGGGUAGAGGGAAUUCCCAGUGUAGCGGUGAAAUGCGUAGAGAUUGGGAAGAACACCGGUGGCGAAAGCGCUCUACUGGGCCGCAACUGACACUCUUGGACGAAAGCUAGGGGAGCGAAAGGGAUUAGAUACCCCUGUAGUCA
RNAcentral lists this ribosomal RNA (663 nucleotides) under Schizothrix sp. HS036. RNAcentral's name for it is "bacterial SSU rRNA". It matches the Rfam family "Bacterial small subunit ribosomal RNA", at positions 99 to 796 of the family's 1533-position model. RNAcentral also lists the same sequence under 1 other name. The record is from RNAcentral. Lineage: Bacteria; Bacillati; Cyanobacteriota; Cyanophyceae; Leptolyngbyales; Schizotrichaceae.